UUGACCUCGGAUCAGGUAGGGAUACCCGCUGAACUUAAGCAUAUCAAUAAGCGGAGGAAAAGAAACCAACCGGGAUUGCCCUAGUAACGGCGAGUGAAGCGGCAAGAGCUCAAAUUUGAAAGCUGGCUCCUUCGGGGUCCGCAUUGUAAUUUGCAGAGGAUGCUUCGGGAGCGGUCCCCAUCUAAGUGCCCUGGAACGGGCCGUCAUA
Molecule: ribosomal RNA, 208 nt
Filed under: Penicillium westlingii
Lineage: Eukaryota; Fungi; Ascomycota; Eurotiomycetes; Eurotiales; Aspergillaceae
Also listed under: 6 other names
Description: partial 28S ribosomal RNA
Rfam family: Eukaryotic large subunit ribosomal RNA
Source: RNAcentral